UGGGGAAUAUUGGACAAUGGAGGAAACUCUGAUCCAGAGACACCGCGUGAGUGAUGAAGGCCUUAAUUGGUUGUAAAGCUCUUUUAGUAAAAGAAAUAAUGAUUUUUUACAGAAAAAGUACCGGCUAACUCUGUGCCAGCAGCCGCGGUAAUACAGAGGGUGCGAGCGUUGUUCGGAAUUACUGGGCGUAAAGCGCAUGUAGGCGGUAAUGUAAGUUUGAUGUGAAAGUUUAGGGCUCAACCCUAAAAUGCCAUUGAAUACUGCAAUACUAGAGAUCGGGAGAGGUAAAUGGAAUUCCUAGUGGUAAAGGUAAAAUUUGUCGAUAUUAGGAGGAACACCAGAGACGAAAGUGAUUUACUAGAACGAAUCUGACGCUGAGAUGCUAAAGCGUGGGGAGCAA
This 400-nucleotide ribosomal RNA is filed under the name uncultured bacterium. RNAcentral describes it as "bacterial SSU rRNA". It matches the Rfam family "Bacterial small subunit ribosomal RNA", at positions 355 to 771 of the family's 1533-position model. The record is from RNAcentral.